ACAAGACAAAAUGCAACGAACUCCCACUGUAUUCCUCUCUGGCAGACAUUCUGGGUUGCUACAUCGUUUGCGAUUUCCGUCUCAUAGAACACAGCAAAAGGUAUUCCACAACAAUAUAACUUGCUAUACCAGUUGCAUUUUCUAGAACGUCUUAUAACCAUUUGUAUGAUAUUUGAACCUUUGAAGAAGAAAUGGCAAUGUGAAUCUUUCGUGGAAAAAUGGUGCAAGAGAUGCACGAGACUUGGGCAAAAAGGAAGGCAUCUGAUACGAGAGAAAAAAAAUGGAUGCAUAAAGUGGAGCAAAAACAAGAAGAAUCAUGCAGCGAAAAAGCUAUCAAGUUGCUACUUGCAUCUAUGACCUGGAUAAACAGAAAACGAACCCAACUUUCUCCAUGGGAGAUGCUCCUUUGGAUAACGACCGUCCAUACCCAAAAAAAAAAAA
Molecule: long non-coding RNA, 441 nt
Filed under: Oryza brachyantha (malo sina)
Lineage: Eukaryota; Viridiplantae; Streptophyta; Magnoliopsida; Poales; Poaceae
Description: long non-coding RNA (OBRA_LNC002755)
Source: RNAcentral